AGGCACCUUGCUCGGCAGGCGCAACGCCCAGGCCGGUGCCAGCCAGAAGAGUGGCGAAGCCCUGUUCGACACUGUAGGUGCCUU
RNAcentral lists this transfer RNA (84 nucleotides) under Pseudomonas putida. Its description in RNAcentral is "tRNA-Leu". Lineage: Bacteria; Pseudomonadati; Pseudomonadota; Gammaproteobacteria; Pseudomonadales; Pseudomonadaceae. The record is from RNAcentral.